This 21-nucleotide non-coding RNA is filed under the name Caenorhabditis elegans. Lineage: Eukaryota; Metazoa; Nematoda; Chromadorea; Rhabditida; Rhabditidae. The record is from RNAcentral.
UAUGUUGUUCUCGGAAUGGUU